Ribosomal RNA from Periophthalmus magnuspinnatus, 104 nucleotides. The record is from Ensembl. Lineage: Eukaryota; Metazoa; Chordata; Actinopteri; Gobiiformes; Gobiidae.
GAUUAUAGCUCUUUGUCAAAGCCUGGUCUUGUCAGAUCUCAGAAGUUAGGUAGGGUUGGCCUAGUUAGUAGUUAGAUGGGAGACUGCCUGGAAUAUCAGGUGCC